CAGUCGCCACGGUAACACCGAGGGUGCGAGCGUUAAUCGGAUUUACUGGGCGUAAAGCGUGCGUAGGCGGCUUCUUAAGUCGGAUGUGAAAUCCCUGAGCUUAACUUAGGAAUUGCAUUCGAUACUGGGAAGCUAGAGUAUGGGAGAGGAUGGUAGAAUUCCAGGUGUAGCGGUGAAAUGCGUAGAGAUCUGGAGGAAUACCGAUGGCGAAGGCAGCCAUCUGGCCUAAUACUGACGCUGAGGUACGAAAGCAUGGGGAGCAAACAGGAUUAGAUACCCCGGUAGUCCCUGUCUCUUAUAA
RNAcentral lists this ribosomal RNA (301 nucleotides) under uncultured bacterium. RNAcentral describes it as "partial 16S ribosomal RNA". It matches the Rfam family "Bacterial small subunit ribosomal RNA", at positions 509 to 809 of the family's 1533-position model. The record is from RNAcentral.